This 1011-nucleotide long non-coding RNA is filed under the name Cyanistes caeruleus (blue tit). RNAcentral describes it as "lncRNA (ENSCCEG00000006057.1)". The record is from RNAcentral. Lineage: Eukaryota; Metazoa; Chordata; Aves; Passeriformes; Paridae.
AUGUCGGGAUUUGAGAUUUGGGAUUUGGAAUUUGGGAUAAUUGGGAAUUGUGUCGGGAUUUGGGAAUUGGGAAUUGGGAAUGGGGAAUUGUUUUGUUGGGAUUUGGGAAUUGUGCCGGGAAUUGGGAAUUGGAAAUUGUGCUGGGAAUUGGGAUUUGGGAUUUGGGAAUUGGGAAUUCUGUCCCUGGUUGUGAUGGGAUUUGGGAAUUGGGAAUUGGGAAUUGGGAAUUGGGAAUUCUGUCCCUGGUUGUGCCGGAAUUUGGGAUUUGGGAUUUGGGAUUUGGGAAUUGGGAAUUGUGCCGGGAUUUGGGAUUUGGGAAUGGGGAAUUGGGAAUUGGGAAUUGUGCUGGUUGGGAAUUGUGCUGGGAAUUGGGAUUUGGGAUUUGGGAAUUGGGAAUUGAGUUGGGAUUUAGGAUUUGGGAUUUGGGAAUUGUGCCAGGAAUUGGGAUUUGGGAAUUGGGAAUUGGGAAUUGGGAAUUGGGAAUUGGGAAUUGUGCUGGGAUUUGGGAUUUGGGAUUUGGGAAUUGGGAAUUCUGUCCCUGGUUGUGUCGGGAUUUGGGAUUUGGGAAUUGGGAAUUGGGAAUUGUGCUGGGAAGUGGGAUUUGGGAAUUGUGUUGGGAUUUGGGAAUUGGGAAUUGUGCCGGCAAUUGGGAAUUAUGUCGGGAUUUGGGAAUUGGGAAUGGGGAAUUCUGUCCCUGGUUGUGAUGGGAUUUGGGAUUUGGGAGUUGGGAUUUGGGAAUUGGGAAUUGUGCUGGGAAUUGGGAAUUAUGUCGGGAUUUGGGAUUUGGGAAUUUGGAUUUGGGAUUUGGGAAUUUUGAAUUGGGAAUUGGGAAUUGUGUCCCUGGUUGUGCCGGGAUUUGGGAUUUGGGAUUUGGGAUUUGGGAUUUGGGAAUUGUGUUGGGAUUUGGGAAUUGUGCCGGGAUUUGGGAUUUGGGAUUUGGGAUUUGGGAAUUGGGAAUUGGGAAUUGUGUCCGUGUCCCUGUCGGGAUUUGGGAAUUGUGCUGGGAUUUAG